GUGCAUUUUAGUGAAUAGCAAAUAGCAUUACAGUUUCUAAAGUUUCCAACUGAGUGUUUAUGUUCCAGACAGGGAACUUUAAUAAUUGGCAUGCAGCAAAGUUAGCAAUGUUUGCGUAACUUUGCAGCAAUGCUAAAUAACCCUUGUGCAACUGAAAAGUGGCUUUAUUCUGCAAUACUGUGUCAGACAUUUUGUGCUAAUGAGCUGUAU
Non-coding RNA from Pelobates cultripes (western spadefoot toad), 210 nucleotides. The record is from the annotation of a GenBank genome assembly. Lineage: Eukaryota; Metazoa; Chordata; Amphibia; Anura; Pelobatidae.